GCCGAACCUAGAAAUAAUAAGGGCAUGAAUGGUGGAAGGCUGGCCACAAAUGCAUUCUUAGAUGCCUAUGAACUGCUUUAAUUAAAAUGUGACUAUCGGAACUUGGAUUCAAGCACUCUUAGCGCAUUUCAAGAUCUAGGAAUUACAUUUUGUUUUGAGUUCAAAAUUAUACUCUCCCUGGUCUGUAUUUAACUGUCUAAUGGAAAAUUUCACUGGAUUAGUAUACUUUUGUGGUCAGCAUAAAGCUACAAUAAAUUAUUCUAAUAUAUUACCUACUACAGUGUUAAUUCCUACGUUAUGGGCCAUAAUGCACUUUAAUAUGAACAAGGUAAAUCUUUCUCCUUCUAAUUUUAUUCUGAGUUUUUUUUCUUUUGCAUGAAUGCCAACGAAAAGCAUUCGUUCCGAAACGUGAUGGUUAGAACGGAAAACUAUUUUCUAUAAAAAUCUCAAUGUAUUGCUUCUUUAUUGUAAAUGACAGCAGAAGAAGAAAAAAUCCUUGUUCAUGCUCAAACAAUAGUUAUAUCAGUCAAUAAAUAUUACAUACACAAUA
Molecule: long non-coding RNA, 550 nt
Organism: Trichoplusia ni (cabbage looper)
Lineage: Eukaryota; Metazoa; Arthropoda; Insecta; Lepidoptera; Noctuidae
Exons: 2
Source: RefSeq, a predicted model, not a curated record